RNAcentral lists this long non-coding RNA (1273 nucleotides) under Homo sapiens (human). RNAcentral's name for it is "HSALNT0322374". The record is from RNAcentral. Lineage: Eukaryota; Metazoa; Chordata; Mammalia; Primates; Hominidae.
ACCACGAACCCACCAGAAGGAAGAAACUCCGAACACAUUUGAACAUCAGAAGGGAUAAACUCCAGACGUGCCACCUUAGGAGCUGUAAACCUCACCGUGAGGGUGCGCGGCCUCAUUCUUGAAGAACCCAGCCAGCAUGCUUGUGAGAAGCAUGCCUGAGUCCUAGAGAGUCAAUAGUCUCUGAUGAAUGCCACCCAACAGUCAAUAUCAACUGAAAGCCAUCUGCGUGAGCCAUCUCAGUCCAGUCAAGCUAUCAACAUGACUGCAGCAGCACUGGAGACUGCAAGAAAGAAUUGCCCAGCUUAGGCCAGUCAACACACAGGAUUACAAAAGGAGUUUUGCUGGUGGUUAAGUAUAUAUUUCAAUGGUCCGUGUAAAGGAAACAACAGUAGACAAAGAAAAUUGUAUUUCUCGGCUGACUGUAUUGUCUUUCCUGAGGACCCUCAUCAUAACAACUUUUUCUCUGGUGACAGAUUUCCAAUGAAUCACCCUGAAGUAGUACCUGCAAUGACGUUGCACACACUAUUCUCUGCAAUCAGCUGUGCGAAGACAGCUGUCACUCCUCUUCGUCACUAAAGGGAAUCCCAGUCUGAUGGCAGCAGUCCCAUGGUAAGAUCUGGUCUGCAGAGAAGAACCAUCACAGAACUCUCCAAGAAUAUAUUUAUCAAAGCCAUGUGGAAGAGAGUAUCCUCUGGACCAUCCCAGGAUGAUUCCUGGCCACAGCAAAGAGGAAGCUUGGGUUUGCAUGUCCAGGACCUCCACCCUAAGUAUUCAGGCACUCUUUUUGACAUCAUUGCUGUUGUUACUUAGGUGUAUCUCCUUGGUUGUGUUUCUCCAUUCUGCUAUAAAAACUGAGAAAACACAGAGACUAAUCAGUCAUUGAAUAUUAUGGAUGAGUCUUUGAAAAGGCAUUUUGCCCCGUCUUCUGCCCCUCAAGUAAGUGUUUAGCUGUAUCAUUCCAAACACAUGAGAAUCUAUUUGGCUCCAGAACUGCAGGGAAAUAAGGUACAGUCUUCCUCAGUAAACCCUGCCACUGAUAAUAUUAUCAUGUAUGAAAUUAUGAAUGAAUUUAUUGACUAAUUGACAAUAUGUCAGUUGGAGAAUUUAAUCUUGAGUGUACCGUUUUCACAAUGCAGCAAACUUUGAAGUUACUAUCAAAAGCCAGAUGUCUUUAAGGUAUGUUAAAAAUUCAGUCAAAACUUUAAAAAUUUAAUAGGAAUAAUACAAGCCUUGCUCUGUAGAUUGUUUGAAGGUUGCUAUUGCAACGCUUGAA